GUUGUAUGGUUAAGUGACUAAGCGUAUACGGUGGAUGCCUUGGCAGUUAGAGGCGAUGAAGGACGUGUAAGUCUGCGAAAAGCUGUGGUGAGCCGACAAAAUGCAUUUGAGCCACAGAUGUCCGAAUGGGGAAACCCACCUAUUUAUAGGUAUCGUUACAUGAAUAUAUAGUGUAACGAGGCGAACGAGGGGAACUGAAACAUCUAAGUACCCUUAGGAAAAGAAAUCAACCGAGAUUCCCCUAGUAGCGGCGAGCGAACGGGGAUUAGCCCUUAAGCAAUUAUGAACGUAGUGGAAGCCUCUGGGAAGUGGCGCGAUACAAGGUGAUAGCCCUGUACACGAAGUGUUUGUUUUUGUGAAAUCGAGUAGGUCGGGACACGUGUUAUCUUGACUGAAUAUGGGGGGACCAUCCUCCAAGGCUAAAUACUCCUAACUGACCGAUAGUGAACCAGUACCGUGAGGGAAAGGCGAAAAGAACCCCUGUGAGGGGAGUGAAAUAGAACCUGAAACCGUAUACGUACAAGCAGUGGGAGCAGACUUGUUCUGUGACUGCGUACCUUUUGUAUAAUGGGUCAGCGACUUAUAUUUAGUAGCAAGGUUAAGCGAAUAGCGGAGCCGUAGCGAAAGCGAGUGUUAACUGCGCGUUUAGUUGCUAGGUAUAGACCCGAAACCCGGUGAUCUAGCCAUGGGCAGGUUGAAGGUUGAGUAACAUCAACUGGAGGACCGAACCCACUAACGUUGAAAAGUUAGGGGAUGACUUGUGGCUGGGGGUGAAAGGCCAAUCAAACCGGGAGAUAGCUGGUUCUCCCCGAAAUCUAUUUAGGUAGAGCCUCGGACGAAUUCCAUUGGGGGUAGAGCACUGUUAAGGCUAGGGGGUCAUCCCGACUUACCAACCCUUUGCAAACUCCGAAUACCAAUGAGAACUAUCCGGGAGACACACGGCGGGUGCUAACGUCCGUCGUGAAGAGGGAAACAACCCAGACCGCCAGCUAAGGUCCCAAAAUAUUGCUAAGUGGGAAACGAUGUGGGAAGGCAUAGACAGCUAGGAGGUUGGCUUAGAAGCAGCCACCCUUUAAAGAAAGCGUAAUAGCUCACUAGUCGAGUCGGCCUGCGCGGAAGAUGUAACGGGGCUAAGCAAUAUACCGAAGCUGCGGAUACGUGUUUACACGUAUGGUAGGGGAGCGUUGUGUAAGUGGAUGAAGGUGGAUUGAGAAGUCUGCUGGACAUAUCACAAGUGCGAAUGCUGACAUGAGUAACGAUAAUGGGAGUGAAAAACUCCCACGCCGGAAGACCAAGGUUUCCUGUCCCAUGCUAAUCAGGGCAGGGUAAGUCGGCCCCUAAGGCGAGGCAGAAAUGCGUAGUCGAUGGGAAACGGAUUAAUAUUUCCGUACUUAUAUAAUCAGUGAUGGAGGGACGGAGAAGGCUAAGCAAGCUUGGCGUUGGUUGUCCAAGUGAAAGCAAGUAGGCCGAGUGUUUAGGUAAAUCCGGACGCUUAAAGCUGAGAUGCGAGACGAGCUACUACGGUAGUGAAGUUGUUGAUGCCCUGCUUCCAGGAAAAGCUUCUAAACUUAUGAUUAUAUGAACCGUACCCCAAACCGACACAGGUGGUCAGGUAGAGAAUACUAAGGCGCUUGAGAGAACUCGGGUGAAGGAACUCGGCAAAAUUGUACCGUAACUUCGGGAGAAGGUACGCCCUUGUUUGUGAUAGGACUUGCUCCUUGAGCAGAUGAGGGCCGCAGUGACCAGGUGGCUGGGACUGUUUAUUAAAAACACAGCACUCUGCUAACUCGCAAGAGGACGUAUAGGGUGUGACACCUGCCCGGUGCCGGAAGGUUAAUUGAUGGGGUUAUCUUCGGAGAAGCUCUUGAUCGAAGCCCCGGUAAACGGCGGCCGUAACUAUAACGGUCCUAAGGUAGCGAAAUUCCUUGUCGGGUAAGUUCCGACCUGCACGAAUGGUGUAACCAUGGCCACGCUGUCUCCACCCGAGACUCAGUGAAAUUGAAAUCGCAGUGAAGAUGCUGUGUACCCGCACCUAGACGGAAAGACCCCGUGAACCUUUACUACAGCUUGGCACUGAACAUUGAACCUACAUGUGUAGGAUAGGUGGGAGGCUUCGAAGCACAGUCGCUAGAUUGUGUGGAGCCGUCCUUGAAAUACCACCCUUGUAUGUUUGAUGUUCUAACAUUGGUCCCUUAUCGGGAUUAUGGACAGUGUCUGGUGGGUAGUUUGACUGGGGCGGUCUCCUCCCAAAUAGUAACGGAGGAGCACGAAGGUUAGCUAAUCACGGUCGGACAUCGUGAGGUUAGUGCAAUGGCAUAAGCUAGCUUAACUGCGAGACAGACACGUCGAGCAGGUACGAAAGUAGGUCAUAGUGAUCCGGUGGUUCUGUAUGGAAGGGCCAUCGCUCAACGGAUAAAAGGUACUCCGGGGAUAACAGGCUGAUACCGCCCAAGAGUUCAUAUCGACGGCGGUGUUUGGCACCUCGAUGUCGGCUCAUCACAUCCUGGGGCUGAAGUCGGUCCCAAGGGUAUGGCUGUUCGCCAUUUAAAGUGGUACGCGAGCUGGGUUUAGAACGUCGUGAGACAGUUCGGUCCCUAUCUGGUGUGGGCGUUGGAUGAUUGAUGGGAGCUGCUCCUAGUACGAGAGGACCGGAGUGGACGAACCGCUGGUGUUCGGGUUGUCAUGCCAAUGGCAUUGCCCGGUAGCUACGUUCGGAACGGAUAACCGCUGAAAGCAUCUAAGCGGGAAGCCGGCCCAAAGAUGAGUCAUCCCUGACUUUUAAAGUCCGGAAGGGUUGUUAUAGACGAUGACGUUGAUAGGCAGGAUGUGGAAGCGUUGUAAGGCGUUAAGCUAACCUGUACUAAUUGCCCGAGAGGCUUAACCAUACAACGCCCAAG
Molecule: ribosomal RNA, 2897 nt
Filed under: Alteromonas stellipolaris
Lineage: Bacteria; Pseudomonadati; Pseudomonadota; Gammaproteobacteria; Alteromonadales; Alteromonadaceae
Description: bacterial LSU rRNA
Rfam family: Bacterial large subunit ribosomal RNA
Source: RNAcentral